RNAcentral lists this small nucleolar RNA (81 nucleotides) under Zalophus californianus (California sea lion). RNAcentral describes it as "Small nucleolar RNA SNORD115 (ENSZCAG00015006345.1)". It matches the Rfam family "Small nucleolar RNA SNORD115". Rfam says of the family: HBII-52 is a member of the C/D class of snoRNAs, which contain the C (UGAUGA) and D (CUGA) box motifs. Lineage: Eukaryota; Metazoa; Chordata; Mammalia; Carnivora; Otariidae. The record is from RNAcentral. RNAcentral also lists the same sequence under 1 other name.
GGGUCAAUGAUGAGAACUCAUAUUGUCUUGAAGAGAGAUGAUGGUCUAAAAAUCAUGCUCAAUAGGAUUAUGCUGAGGUCC